Molecule: long non-coding RNA, 545 nt
Filed under: Serinus canaria (Common canary)
Lineage: Eukaryota; Metazoa; Chordata; Aves; Passeriformes; Fringillidae
Description: lncRNA (ENSSCAG00000014516.1)
Source: RNAcentral
UGAAGAGCAGUGGGAGCUGCAGGUUGUGCUCUGGGUGGGGGGCACGGUGGGAGCCACAGGCCAGGGGCUGUGCCCUGGUGCUGCCCCUUGGCACAGCUGCCCUCUGUGAAGGGACUUUGGUCCCAGCAGUGGAAGUCUGGAGUGGUGUGAGCGUGACUGAGAGUGGCUUCUGGAUGGUCAGACAGGAAGGUUCCUUAACAAGAGUUUUCUUCCAAGUGGCAUCACUGAAGGGGACAGCUGUUACUGCUGUGGGAGAUCAAGAGCUCCUUCCAGUUGCAUCUUCUGUGUCAUCUGCAAAACCCCCAGUUACAAUCCCCAGUGUGCUGGCUGCAGAGAGGCCACCUUGUCAACUGGGAUCCCAUCAAGUGCUCUGAGCUCCUGUCCCUCCAUCAGAACUGAAGAGGUGCAGCAUGGCUCACAACUGCCUGCAGUGUAUCAAGUACCUAAUGUUUGUUUUCAACCUUCUCUUCUGGGUGAGUACACUUUUGGAACCGUGAAACGGUUUUUGUGUCUGUUUACUGAGGUGGAAGAUGAACUUGUUGCUG